Molecule: ribosomal RNA, 34 nt
Filed under: Pilotrichopsis dentata
Lineage: Eukaryota; Viridiplantae; Streptophyta; Bryopsida; Hypnales; Cryphaeaceae
Also listed under: 2 other names
Description: 25S ribosomal RNA
Source: RNAcentral
CAGACCUCUAAUCGGAAAAGACCACCCGCUGAGU